GAGGCCGCCAUGCAGCAGGUGAAAGAACCCCACGCCAGACUGUGGAGAGAGAAACCAGCAGACAGCUGGGUUAAGACAGUAGCUCACGUUAUAUUUCUGAAGGCAAGAGACACACAUACACAGAUGUGACCGGGCAGGGUCAUUUCUAGCAUUCCUGGCUUACAUCCAGUCUCUGAAAGCCCAGCCAGAACAGAAGACAGCAUUUCCAUUUUGUGGAGAGCCCCAACCUGAGGGCCAUGACCCAAGCAUGCAGGCAGUGCUAGCCAGCCUUGGGCAGCCCGUGGCAGCGCACAUGCAAGUGACAACGAGGAGCACAGGGAGACAGCAGGAGAAGGAAGUGGAAAUAAAGAAGUGACCGUGGCAGUGCCUGGCUGGAGCAGCAGUGUUAGCAUGGGGCUCCCAGCAUGAAGAACUCCUUUUGUUUGCAGAACUUAUCUGUGUUCAGGCUCCCCUGGACAUCGCAUUCAGCCCAUCAGCUCCAGGGGCCAAGCUUGGACAUCCAUCAGUCCUCUGACCUGCUGAAAUUCCCUGCCUGGAGGACCCCCUGCCCCACUGCUGACUUGUGCCAGGCUUUGCCAAAGGCUUGGGAAUGGGAGACAGCUACUGCUGGAAAUGCUCUGAAAGCUCCAGUGAAGGCUUUGCUGUACUUUCAUGCCUCCUGUUCUACUGAGGAGGUGUGUGCAGAGGAAAGGUGUGACUGAGAGCUUGCUGUUUGACAUCGUAUUGGAUCCUCAAUUAAGAGAAAAGUUAAAGAAAACCGCUGAAGCAAAUACUGCACAAUUAGCAUCACCACCAACCUCGCUGCUGCAAAACAAGGGUAUGCCACCCACCAGGCAUCUCACAGCCCGUCUCACACAAGCCUCAGAUGGAUGCUUCAGCAAUGUUCAGCCCAUUCGCUGAGUGGGAGGCCAAGAUGACAGUCCAUUGACUCAGGUGGGAUUGUUCUGAAGCUGAACACCACAGACUGUGGAACUACUCCUGGAGGGAGGGGGUCUCAGUCUUCAGGACAACCCUCUGGAAAAGCUAAAGCACUGAUUGCUGAAACUUGAGGAACUCGAGUGCAUCGUAACCAUCUGACAAGAUCAGUCCCUUGCUCUUCUGUCAGACAGUGGAGGGCAGCAUCAAGUAGGUUCAUAGGUACUAAGUGCGUAUCUUCAAAAGUGGUGAUCAUGUUGAGUGCAACUGCUGCACAGUGACAACAUGUUAACAAAAGGAUGCUGCGGGCAAUUCUGGAAUGGAAAAAUGAGGCAAGCAGAAUUUAUUUUGGACGAUGAGAUAAAGAGGCUUUACCUCAGCCUGUAAUGAGUCUCAAGGAUGAAAAAUUCUUCACAAAACUUGAAUUUAUUCAAGUAUGUCAACCUUGAGCAUCAGGCAAGGCACUGUAAAUGAACACACUAUUACCUCUCAGCAAGCAGCAUCCUGAAUGAGAAGUUUUCAAUGCUGAGUUUCCUUUGAAAAAGGAACCCUGAAAAAUGUCACAGAAAUGAUGCUUAGAAGAACCCCAGGCAUCAUACCACAUUUUGAUGAAUUCCUGAUUAAGCAGUCCAAAGAACAGUGUGGUUAAUGACUUCUAGAAGCUUUGAGCAGGUUUUGAGACUGUACAGUAUCCAACUGAAGAAGUAGAAAUAUGAAACUGCAGCAACUGCUGCUGUCUUUAUAGGGUAUUCUGGUGGUUUGCAUCUGCCCUUUUUUCAUUUGGAGUAAGAAAAACCAAGGGUUGUUCAGAGUACUCUGAGCAGAAGUACAAAUCAAAGCAUCGAGUACUCUUUGUACAAACCCACUGCAAUUUCCUGUCCAAAAAAAUAAGCAACAAUUGUGACCGCAACUUUUAUAUGAGAGAGAGCUCUGGUUAAAUUGACUUCAAGAAUGUGAAGAAAUUAUUGAUAUUGAUAUUGCAGUUGGGUGCUUUUUCUCCACAACAUGCAAAGAUGAUUCCUGGCUGUCUUGUGUUAGUAAAGCCGUUCUCAGACUUGUUUGCAGUUGGGGCUGAAAUACCCAGAAUUCAAUGCCAUCUGAAUGAGAUUGUGUGUGCUGAUGAAGAAGCCUUUGCCUCUGUUUAUGGAACCACAAAAUUCCGUAACUUCAUCUACUGCUGUGCUUUUGAGAAUAAUACAGCUGACAAACCAGUUCUAGAGAGUAUAAAAACACAUCUAUGCCUCCAAUUGCAUGCGUACACGAACAUGAAUGCCCAGUGUGUAUGAUUAUGUAUUUGUUGGAAAUUCAGAAAGUUGAUUUGUGAUGCCAGCUCCUUGUGCCAACAGUUUCCCAUGCCAGAUUGCAAGUCCUGUCUCCAGAUGAAAUAACGAUAUUUAAAUCCCCUCCUGGCCUGUUUCUCCAGGUGGUCAGGUCAUGAAAUUGACUGUCAAAGAUCCAGUAUUAGUGCUUGUUCUCAAGGCAACACUGAAGAGGCGGCUGACAGUGGAAUGGCUGUUAAGAGUUCAAAGCAUUUUUAAUCCAUAAACAUGAGCUGUUUGCUCGUAAAGAAUCUCUUCUGGGAAAAUCGUACCGCUAUUCCUGAAGGAGACUGCUGAGUCACGUUAACUGUGUUAUAUGCGGUGCGGGCAGGAAUUGUGUGCAUGGAGAUGUUAGUCAUGCAUUUUGGCUGGUGGCUUGGAAAUGUGCUCCCUGCCAAGCCAGUGACACCGCUUCCUGAAUGCCCUGGUAUUCCAUGAGUGAUGCGCAAGGAGCCGUGGCCCAGAGUCUGUACUGAUUCCUGUGGGCCUUUUCCAACAGAAACUUAGCUUCCUAAUUAUGGAAAACUUAUAUUCAGAAUAUCGCAGUGGGAUUUUAUCCUCCUCGGAAACACCUCCUGCCUCUGUGCUCCCCACUGAACAUCGUAUGUGGUUACUGCUCACCAGACGUUCUAAUGGUAGAAGUGCCCUCCCGGCUGAUGGAUUCAAGGAUCUGACCAAAACAGCCUCAUUUGGUAUGUGACUCUGUGCCGCGCUGUCCCUGCGCGAGUCAUAAUACUGGGCCAAUGUGUGGACAGCUAAAGAGAUCUUAAAAAGCUUUAAUACCUGCCAGGUUCCUCAUAAUUCAGCGCUAAACAUCUGCUCUGACAGUCAGAAGGAAUUCUUCCGAGCUAUGAUGAGACAUCAUCUCACAUCGCUCCUCUGUCAACUCAAACUUGAUCUGUCUGGAAGUUUCUGAUCCAAGCAGUCUUUUUCCUCCAUCACAUUUCAUAUGACAAAAAGCCUCUGUAUGGUAGAAGCAGUGGGACUGAGCAAUGUGUCUGCUGCAUCAGUGGAAAUCCAGUUAUUUCUUUAACAUUAUUUUCUAUAAUAUUCAAUUCCAGAACUAGUAGUGCGAUGCUACUAGUGCACUGACAGCUCCUUCAAUGUUCAUGGAAUAGAUGCUGCUUUUCUGAGCAGUGAAUUGGUGUUUUCAUAGAAGUGUCUGUCACCACCCCAAGAACUUUAUCCUGAGAGGUUAAAGCUAAUUCAGAACCCAUUACUAUAUAUGUAAAGGUCAAACAAGCGGCUGCACGAUUCCCCCUCACAAAGAGACAUUUGGGACCUGAAAAUAAGUGUCACUGUGACUUUCUGACUAUAAAUGUCUCCAUGGCCUGGGGAAACUAUGCAGAGUGUCCUUCCUUAGUAGAGGAAGCAGGGAAAUGUCUGUAUUACAAUAUAAAUCUUAAUUUACUUGGGGAAAAAAACCCACCAAACAAACAGCUGAAUGAAAAAAAAUGCAUCAGAGAAAUGACAGGUCUGUAGGAACUAAGUAAACAGCUGUCUUAACCCCUCGGCUGAAAGUAAUCGGGAUGACAUAAGCCGGAGCAAGGUCAAUAAAACUUCGACAUUUUUCACCUUUAAAAGAAAAGGAUUAUUUUAGGAGACAGAAGGUGUUCGGUUUUGCUCUGCCUCCUCUUUCUGAGUGGUGUUCCUUCCUGCCAUCGCUCCCACCUGAGACUCUAUGGGACCACCAUGUAUUCUCAGCCACAGAGCAGACGUUUACUGGGCCUCCUUCCUGGGUAAACUAGUUAUCCUCACAAGGCUGGAGUAUGAAAAAGCCCAUCUAGGUUCUGGUUCUGAAAAAAGGACAUUCCUAUGCCACUUAUCAGGAGAAAACUUGAUGGCAGAGAAGGAGCCACUUCAUUCACAGCUCACAAACACUGGACUGUCAUUUACAAGCAUGGAUGAGCAGUACUCCACAGAGUCUGCCUACAAUAGAUGUGCAUGUAUUUGUAAUUUAGAAGGGAUCUUCAGACUGAACCAGCCAGAGAGUAGAAGACAUAUCUGGAAAUACCCAUGGUCUGAGCUGGUGGCUGGAGAGAAGAUGUGGGCAGUUUGUUACUGGUGAUCUUGAAACUCUCUCAGAUGGAGAGGGAGAGGAGCUGCUGGAGGGCUGCCGGUGUUCCUGUGGGUGCUGCUACAGGCACAGCUCUCUGCAUUGGUCUGUGUGGCCAGCAGAGAAGCAGGUUGAGUCUUCAGGCUCCCUUCUUCUGAUCUUCCAAGACAGGAUCAAGGAACGUCUUGUGAUGCUGCUCUAGCAUGGAUAAAGGACGAAAAGGAUUCACUAACUACUUCUGAUGAAGAGGAAACCAAAUGUUUACCUCAUGUGUCUUCCGAGGGAGAGCAAAGGCAGUAUCUUCUCAGCCCUCAGCUUUCCACAGAAACUCUGGCUACUCACUGAAAGUGACUAAUUUAAGAUAAUUUGGUGGAAUCGUGAUGGUGGUGCAAUCGAUGAAGAAAUGUUUAAGGUUGGAGUACUGCGAAGUGAAGGACCUUUCAGAGUUUUUCAGACUGAAAACAUGAAAAGCUUCAUUUGUUAACUUAAUCUGUAUGGGUUCACCAAAGAUCUCCCUCAGUUGCUGAAUUUCCAGCAGAGGAAGAAGCAUUUGCUGCUCACAGAAAGUCUCAAAUUUAUAGCAACUAACCCAUCUCCUUUGCUGCUGCUUUUGCUCUUCCACCUUACAUGGUGCCUGGUUUUACCACUGGCCCUCCCCAGCAGGAGCUUCCCUGGCACCCACAAGCACCACCAGAGCAGCAGGAUCCUUGGGCUCUGUUGAGAGGUAAGUUGAGAGGUCAUGGAUAGAUACUUCUUGAAAGACGUUUCAGUAAUAAACCUCCUCCAUUCUCUAUUUGUUUAUUUAUCUGUUUAAUGGUUCUGAAAAUAAAACGUUUGAAUAAUGAGCCUUUUCAGGUUUCAUGCCCUUUUAGUCAUUCAUUUAUUUAUUUAAUGGUGAAAUCUCAGAUUGAUUCUGUAUUUUGUCUCUCAAAAGGAAGUAGAAGCAAUGGUUCUAACACCAACCUAAUGGUUUUCUGUAAGAAUCAAGCUCUAGAUUCUUAGCUGUAGCGAUAUAUAAAUAAUCAGUAAGAACAACAAAAUACUUUCAAUUUCAAGUUUAAGGUUAAGAGGUAAAGUGAUUACUGGAGGAGUGGGAGCCUUGGAUUUUACCACAUCAACCUGUAUUUUUUCUUUACAGUUGACACUCUAACAGUAUUUCUUCCCUGGCUUGCCCACGUAUCUGCUCUGAUCCUCUUAUUUGUUGUGAUUCAGGCUGCCUGCUUCAAAGCAAACUCCAGAAACUUCUCCCACCUUCCCUACCCCUCCUUUUUGGGUUGAGGCAUCCUGAGUUUCUAAGCGGGCACGCCCAACUCAGAGUAUGGAAACAGACAACCUUAACCUUCCAGCCACGGAUGUUUUAACAAAGAGAAGGAGAAAGGCAGUAAAACAGAGUACACUGCAAAAGGAUAUCCAGUUUUUGAAAUCAGGUGGAAAAAAUGUAUGUAUUUUUGUAAACUUUAUUCCUAAGCUUGUACCUAAAGAACUCUGCAACAAAGUCUCAUUUAAUAUUUUUUUUUGGUCUGGUCAGAUAACGCAGAAUGAAAUCAGUCUGAAUGACAGGUAUUUUCCUCUCCAAAUCUAGUGAGUCUGAUCAUUGUGGAGUGAACCUGAUUCCCAGCAAGCACGGUUUAUGUCCUUCCCUCCCCCGUGCCCCAUGAGGCAGCCAAGUGCAAGGUGGAACAGCUUAAAGUGAAUUUUUGUUUGACUGUGACUAUUCAUACAGGCCACGUCAUUCCAUAGUAAUAACAUCUGCUCCUCAUUAUUUACUGCCGUCUGCAGUCUUUAAAUCAUUGGCAAGUUAGAUCAGCGAAGAUUUAUAUUACCAUUUAGAUUACCAACAAGAAUACUGAAUAACAUUACAGCAAAGCAUGAUUAACAGUGGAUCAUGCUAGAAGUGACCCUACUCCCUGAUAAUUCCCUAUUUUGAGAUCUGUCAGGUAAGUCGAUUUUUAAUUUUACCUAUUUUAGCUCUGCUAAUUCCACAUAAAGAAAAACUUUAAAUUAGGAAUUAGUCUGGUGUAAUUUAAAUGCAGGAGGAUACUGUGAUGAUUGAUAUUCCAUCCCGUAUUUAUUUCUGUAGUCCUGAAUGCAUCUGAUCAUAUUUUGCAGUAACUGGCACUGAGGAAACAGUCUCACUUAUCCAUCCAGAUGAUCAUUUGUAUCUCUUUGAAAAAUGGGACCUAUGUGUUUAUCUUCCCCUUCUUUGAAGUUUAUUCCAGCUACAAGCAACGAAGAAAGCCCCUCAGACAGCUGGGUUAAGUGGCUGAGAAUGGACUCAUCCAAAGAGAAAGCGAUGUAGUUAGUGUGGAAAGGAGUGGUGCCUUGCCUUGGCCCUUUGCUCUGUUACCAGUCUCAGCACGCAGGGAUUUUACAUUUGCAAUUUAUGAUGGGUGUUCGCACAGCUAGUCUGUCUAGCAGGAUCAGGAGGACCUCAAAUCCAGAAUUCCCAGUGCAUCACAGACACAAAACAUCCCCAUUAUUCUCUAAAAACCUGAAGGUCUGUAAUAAAGCAAUGACCACAGAAAACUACCGCUGUCAUGUACCACAAGAAAAGAAGAAAAAGAACCAUUGUGAGGAAGACUAACAGAUAUGAGCACUCCUAUCACACUGGUUCAAUUCCUAUGGUCAGGGCUGUCCUACCCUACAAGCAAAACCUCAGGAUUUGUUAAGAGGAAUCACAGGUGCUUUCCUGAAAUUGACCUUUCCCCUUGUUCUAAAAGAAGGCAAAAAUCCAUUACCAUCCUUGUUAUCUAACCUGGAGGAGGUUUCUCUUCUGAUCGCAAAUUAGAUCAUCAAUUUAAUGUUCGGUGCAUGAACAGACAUACCAAUUAGAUUCUGAGAAGCUGUAAUAAUGUGGAGAGCAGAAAAGCACCCUUGCACGGUCUCCAUCUGUAGCCAAUUUCUGAUGCUUUAGAGAAGGCAUAAAACCCUCCAGAAAAUACGACGUGCAUCAAGCCAGCAGCUAUUUUUUCUUGGCUCCUAUCAAUGACCAGUGGAAACCCUGAAGCAUGGAUGCAGUGUAAUUUAAUACAAUAUAAACAUGGCGUGACAAAAGGCAGUCAAACCAAGAUGGCUUCUUUCAGACCCCUUCAAGAUACCAACAAAUCAGUUAUGCAGGCUUCACUCCAAGCUUCCUCGUGCCAGAAACAUUGCUCUUUUGUCACAGAGCUCUUUCUGUAAAUGUAAGAAGUAUCAGUAUUUCAGUGAUUUCCUUUGCUCACACUGCCCUCUGUGGCGGUGAAUUCCAGAUGACACGCUUUCUGAGAACCCCUCCUUGCAUCUUCAUUUUUUUCCUCAGUGAUAAAUAACUUAAAUAAUGUUCUUUUUUUGAUAUUUGAAUAUGUACGCAUGCGUGUGUAUAGACGUGUACAUGAUACCAUCAUAGCCCCUCUAGAUAUCUGAUUUGUUCUAUGAAAGAGGACCACUUUUUUCUUGUCUUGAAGGAGAUUCUCUUCUCAAAUACCUUAGAAAUCCCACAGUGCAUCUAUUUUGCACUCCCUUUUUCUUACCCUAACUAUUCAUGAUGGUGUUAACAAAAAAAAUGCACAGCGGUGCUGACCCUUCCAUAGAAUAACAGUUUUCCUUUCUAUUGCAGCACUCUGGCAGCUGGCAGUCACCUCACAGACAAAUGCUGGCCCACAACUUGUUUCUUAUCUUUUGCCUGCCACUGAGUACCAGUGACCUCAGGGAAUUAUGUAAUUUAUGCUUUUAAAUUUAUUUAUUUCAAUACUGUUCUUAGUUCUCUGUCGUACCAGCUCACAUUUUUAGUUACGGAGAUAAAUCUUUACUCUGUAAUACCAAUAUUUCCAGACUUUGUGACACAGCACACGUAAGGAAUGCAUUUAAAGUAAGAUUGUUCUCUUCAAAUUAAGAUUCCUGUGUUAGAAAUGGCAACUUCAUGGACAGAUUCCUUUUCCAACGAGGAGAACAGGUAACCACAGGGCUUUGUUCAUCCCUCACCAGGAAGACUGGAACCUCCCCUAGAAGCAUUCAUUACUCUCUGGUGACUGUAAUGAUGUUGAUCAGUUGAGGCACAUAUAUCUGCUUUGUUCAUGUCCACUGCUUUGCUGCUGGUUUUGCGUUGGUUUUGGAUUUUUUUUUUGUUUGUUUUUAAAUUUUAAUUUUCUUUAAAGAAACUGGAUAAUGUUAAUUGUGUCUCUGGUUCUCUUUGUGGAUUGUUAAUCUCAGCAAUAAUCAAAUCAGUCUCAAGACCAAACUCGAGGGCUGCUAGAUAUAUCUGAUCUCCACUGUGAUCUUUAUUCUUUUUUAUAUUAAUUGCGUCAGCCUCAUUGUAAAACUGGCCUUUAAUCAGCUUACAGCCUCUCUAUUUAUCCCUAUAAUAAUAAAUAACGUAAUGUAAAAUCUACACCACAGUUUGCAGCAAAAUUUCUACCAACUUCACUAUCUUUGUAUCACCAUAAAUAAUUGAUAUUAUGUGGACAGUUGGACUGGAUGAUCUCGUAGAUCUUUUCCAACCUUGGUGAUUCUAUGACAUUGAGGGAAGAUGUGUAUGCAGUACAGAGUGAUUCUGCUCCUGUGUACUCCCCUUGUGAUAUCAGUGCUGCAUCAUUAGUCUGGGGACUUCCAGGUCAGAGGGUGCUCUCAAAUCACUGUGUCAGUGAUGGAUAUUUCCUUCCUGGAUAUACGCAGUCCUCAGUUUUCACCUUCACAGCAUUCUAUGGCAGGGAACUCUUUGGGAAGAAAUAUUUCUAUUUAUCUGUUAUGCCUCUUGUUCUUAAAUUGUAGAAGAAGUCAAUGAUACUUCUUGUUUGAACCCUGUCAUUCCCCAUCAGUGUCAUAGUUCUCUGCGCUUUGUGCCUUUUUUCCAGUUUGAAGAGGCUCUGGCUCUUUUCCACUGUGGAAAUAUGUGGAUACCUAGCAACCUGCUGUUACCAUUCCCUCUGCUGUCUGCAGUUCUGUAAAGAAUUUUCAGUGGGACAUUCCAUCAGAUGCUUUGUGAAAAUCCACAGAGACUGGGUCUAAUGCGUUAACUCUUGUCUAAGAAGCUAAUCUUCUUGUAGAGAGCUCUACCUUUGAUAAAACUCUACCUUUGAUAGAAUCCAUUUGUUGUCCUAUACUGACUGCUUUCCCUAAAACCUGUCGUAAUGAUGCUGAGUCAAGUGGUCUCUAUAAUGUUUACCCAUUUUCCUCUUUGAAUACAGAAAUGUGCAGAUUCAUGAAAGAUUCUUGCUACCCAAACUGCAUUUUCACGUGCCAAUUAUUUCACCAUUUUCAGAUGGAAAGUAUCCAGGCCCCCUGAGUUCAGUUCCUCUAUCACUGGAAAUUAUCUCUUUAAUACAAAGCUAAACCUCCUCAAUUUCUUCUGCCCACUCUAUCCUUCCUAAGCAAAUUGUAACUAGCAAUUUUUACAUUCCAGUUGUGAAGAAACCCACCAGGUUUCAGUUACGCCAAUUAUAUUACAUUUUUCAUAAUGCAAUAAGAUUUCCCAAUUCCUCUUGCUUUUUAAUUAUAUAUUCACAGGUGCUUCUGCCCUGUCCCUCUCCCUGGACAGCUGCCUAUGGUUUACUCACUACUGCAGGAUGCAUCUCUCUAGUCCUCUGGCUCCUUCUGCAAAUGUGCUUUUACUGUCUAUAUUUGUGGUCUGCUUUGAUGCAUCUUUGCAUAUCAACUCGGCUUGGGGACCCUCUGCGUGCCCUCACACCAGUGGGUCGUGAUAAAAGCUGUUGUAGAGAAGAGGAGAGCCAUCAGAUUCAGACUCACUGCUAGCAGGGCUCUGCAUCUUCGAUUUGUCUUCAUGUUUUCCAGGCACCAAAACUCUCAGCUUCUUCCAGUCUGCUGUUGUAGCAGUGAAGGAAACGCUGCAGCCAGACUCCCAUUCUUCUCUUCACUUGAAAUCCUGCCUUUGUAUGUUAAAGGAGCAGCUGC
Molecule: long non-coding RNA, 10176 nt
Organism: Numida meleagris (helmeted guineafowl)
Lineage: Eukaryota; Metazoa; Chordata; Aves; Galliformes; Numididae
Exons: 17
Source: RefSeq, a predicted model, not a curated record